Molecule: ribosomal RNA, 776 nt
Filed under: uncultured Neocallimastigales
Lineage: Eukaryota; Fungi; Neocallimastigomycota; Neocallimastigomycetes; Neocallimastigales
Description: partial large subunit ribosomal RNA
Rfam family: Eukaryotic large subunit ribosomal RNA
Source: RNAcentral
CCAUAGCGACUAUCGUGGCAUAUCAAUAAGCGGAGGAAAAGAAACUAACAAGGAUUCCCUUAGUAACGGCGAGUGAAGCGGGAAGAGCUCAAAUUUGAAAUCUUCAAGGUUUUACCUUGACGAAUUGUAGUUUAAAGAAGUGUUUUCUGUUGAAGUUUUGGCUAAAAGUUCUUUGGAAUAGGACAUCAUAGAGGGUGAGAAUCCCGUAUUUGGUCAUUCUUUCUAGCUUUGUGAUACACUUUCAACGAGUCGGAUUGUUUGGGAAUGCAGUCCAAAAUGGGUGGUAAAUUUCAUCUAAAGCUAAAUAUUGGCGAGAGACCGAUAGCGAACAAGUACCGUGAGGGAAAGAUGAAAAGAACUUUGAAAAGAGAGUUAAAAAGUACGUGAAAUUGUCAAAAGGGAAGCGUUUGACACCAGUGUUGUUUUUCCGAAAAUCAAUUACGAAUGUUUUAUUUUUGAGAAGUUAUGACUUCAUCGGCUUGCUUCUCUCUUUAUGAAACUUUCUUAAUGCACUUUUCGGUUAACAAGUCAACAUCAAUUUCUUUUGUUGUAAAAGGGUAUGAGGAAGGUGGCUUUCUUUUCGGAGAAAGUGUUUAUAGCCUUGUACCUCUGCAAUCGGAGAGAUUGAGGUCUGCAGCGUAGAUCCUUCGGGGUUAGAUACAUUUGUGCUAAGUUAUAGCUUUUCAUAGACAACUUGUUGACUAUGUUAAGUCUUGUAGCUUACUCGCUUAUGCUAUUUUACCUACGCUUAGGAUGUUGAUAGUCACAGCGUGUAC